GAAACGACUGCUAAGACUGGAUAGGAAAUAAAAAGGCAUCUUUUUGUUUUUAAAGAGGGGCUUGCGCCACAUUAGUUAGUUGGUGAGGUAAAGGCUUACCAAGAUUAUGAUGUGUAGCUGGACUGAGAGGUUGAACAGCCACAUUGGGACUGAGACACGGCCCAAACUCCUACGGGAGGCAGCAGUAGGGAAUUUUCGGCAAUGGAGGAAACUCUGACCGAGCGACGCCGCGUGAACGAUGAAGUAUUUCGGUAUGUAAAGUUCUUUUAUUGAAGAAGAAAAAAUAGUGGAAAAACUAUCUCGACGUUAUUCAAUGAAUAAGCCCCGGCUAACUAUGUGCCAGCAGCCGCGGUAAGACAUAGGGGGCGAGCGUUAUCCGGAAUUAUUGGGCGUAAAGGGUGCGUAGGCGGUUAGAUAAGUCUAUAAUUUAAUUUCAGUGCUUGACGCUGUCUUGUUAUAGAAACUGUCUUGACUAGAGUGAGAUAGAGGCAAGCGGAAUUCCAUGUGUAGCGGUAAAAUGUGUAAAUAUAUGGAGGAACACCAGAAGCGUAGGCGGCUUGCUGGGUCUUUACUGACGCUGAGGCACGAAAGCGUGGGGAGCAAACAGGAUUAGAUACCCUGGUAGUCCACGCUGUAAACGAUGAGUACUAAGUGUCGGGGCAACUCGGUACUGAAGUUAACACAUUAAGUACUCCGCCUGAGUAGUACGUACGCAAGUAUGAAACUUAAAGGAAUUGACGGGACUCCGCACAAGCGGUGGAUCAUGUUGUUUAAUUCGAAGAUACACGAAAAACCUUACCAGGUCUUGACAUACUCUGCGAAGCUAUAGAAAUAUAGUGGAGGUUAUCAGGGAUACAGGGUGGUGCAUGGUUGUCGUCAGUUCGUGUCGUGAGAUGUUAGGUUAAGUCCUAAAACGAACGCAACCCCUGUCGUUAGUUACCAGCACGUAAUGGUGGGGGACUUUAGCGAGACUGCCAAUUUAAACAUUGGAGGAAGGGUUGGGGAUAACGUCAAAUCAUCAUGCCCCUUAUGAUCUGGGGCUACAAACGUGAUACAAUGGCUGUUACAAAGAGUAGCUGAAACGCGAGUCUUUAGCCAAUCUCAAAAAGACAGUCUUUAGUCCGGAUUGAAGUCUGCAACUCGACUUCAUGAAGCUGGAAUUCGCUAGGUAAUCGGCGAAUCAGCCAAUGUCGCCCGGGUGAAUACCGGGGUUUGUACACACCGCCCGUCA
Molecule: ribosomal RNA, 1231 nt
Filed under: 'Salix alba' phyllody phytoplasma
Lineage: Bacteria; Bacillati; Mycoplasmatota; Mollicutes; Acholeplasmatales; Acholeplasmataceae
Description: bacterial SSU rRNA
Rfam family: Bacterial small subunit ribosomal RNA
Source: RNAcentral